AAUUAUUGAACCACAUAAUCUAAUAUUUUGCUAGUAUUACAAAACCAUUAAUCUCAAACUACAGGACUAAGUUUGAUGUCUUUCAUAUAAGAAACAAAUAAGAUAAAGAGUACUCCAUCGACGAACCAUCUUAUUCGAUCCUCAUCUGUUAGCGUCAAUGCUACGCUCUUUUAUUCUGGAUGUUCAGAACCACAACUGCAAACAUCAUGGUCGCCCUACACAUGUUCUUACAGUUCUUCAGCAUCUGGCAAACGUUGUUGAGGUUGAGCGUGAAGAAACUAAUUGCCACACUGC
RNAcentral lists this long non-coding RNA (294 nucleotides) under Musa acuminata (dwarf banana). RNAcentral's name for it is "long non-coding RNA (MACU_LNC005349)". The record is from RNAcentral. Lineage: Eukaryota; Viridiplantae; Streptophyta; Magnoliopsida; Zingiberales; Musaceae.